UUUUAGCAAUUAAGAGUUUAUUUUACUUACGACUUUCCUGUUUGCUUUCAUUAAUUUUCCGUAAUCCCGCAGUGCCUGAAUGAGACCAUUAAUUAAAUUGGACGCAGCCUGUAGGACCGGGUCAAAUACCUUUUUUAACUGACUUUGCACAACAGGAGCGGUCUAAUAAGACAGCGAUGUGGACAGAAGCGCAUAAUGACCUGACUUCACAUCGUGAGAUGAAUGGAUUCAGUGUGCGCAGGUCGCCGCCGGUGUGAACGUCUGGGUUCACGGUGAGUCACCCGGGCCUUUCCAGAGAAUCAGAGAAGCGAGCAACCCGGCGGAGAGUUUACGAUAAUAAAUAUCCCCGACGCCGAAUGAGAAGGAGACGAGAGGUGCCGUCCACACCGGAUGUACACAGCACGCAGAUGUUUAAAUAAUGCAACAUUCCCAUCAGUGGCGGACAUCAGAGAGCCGGUGGAGCAGAGGAGUGCGGGCGUGUUAUCGCGUUAAGGGUAUCUAUCCUUUACAAAGGGUGAGAUGAAAUGUUUCCCCAGAUUAAAACCCUGUUCAGCCCUGCCAGAGAGGGAAGGAAGGAGUGAAGUGAAAAAGAGUGACAAAACAGAAAGCGAAGAAGGCGCCAAGCGUACAACAGUACAACUGUACAGCGGAGGUCACGCACUUUCACAGGGACACAAGGCCACACAAGGCCAGAUAUUGCAACAUCCAUCAGCGCACGUAACCACGGUGACCAGACAGCAACCCCUACCACCCCCCCCCCACCAAAACGAAAGCGGGCAUUAGGAUCGGAACACAGGAGCAGUGCGUGUAAAGUCGGACGCUGAUUACAGAAGAGAAACUCUUAAAGCAAUGACCGCGCACCCAGCACGACUCUGCCGCCCCGGUGACGGGCUGGGGGAAGCUCGGCCGCACGCUGCCCCGCGCGGGAUCCGAGCCAAGCGCGGUUUCCCCCCCAAAUGAAAAGGUGCGAUAAUGGCAGUGGGCGUUUGAUCCUUUAAAAGCGGUUAGCAGGCGAAGCCGCCACCGCGGAAACGGCGGGCGAUGAAGACGAGGCACACCUCACACCUGCGCAGGGCUUUCAACUUCAGCAUCACUCAGAUUAAUAUUCUCCCACUCCCCACUCUUCAGGCAGUCUGGGGGGGGGAGUUCUGGGCUCAUGAAGAGAAGGUACUGGAAGCGGUUAAUUCUCAGGUCUUCUGCCCGGCAACGUCGCCAUGGUAUUCACUGGGCUCCGGUGUCCUUUAGAAAUGGCCACACAUCAAGAAACGGGAAGGGAAACUCGUCUUUUUUUACAACGAGAUGGCCGAUUUAUUUCCCUUCCUCUGCCACUUCAGCCCAAUUGAGGGUUGUUCCCAGGUUGUUGCUCAGUCAUAGGAAGACGUAUGCUUUACGAAUGAAAAAGUCAGUCAAAUAUUUUAAAAAUUGAAGAUGAUAAAAAGCAGGAAAAGUUAUAUCGUCUAUCCAAGUUCGAAAGUUACAUUUCCAGAGAAGUGCACUUGGACUACCCAUACAAUGUUAUUAAAUUAGUAUGACAUAUUCAGAAAGUACUUUUUCCGCCCACAUACAAGUCUACACAACUGAAAGUUCAAACAUUAGAGCAUGCAACUGUCAGCUGA
Long non-coding RNA from Conger conger (European conger), 1616 nucleotides. RefSeq lists it as uncharacterized. Lineage: Eukaryota; Metazoa; Chordata; Actinopteri; Anguilliformes; Congridae. The transcript has 3 exons. The record is from RefSeq and is a predicted model, not a curated record.